GCAGUCGAGCGGACAGAUGGGAGCUUGCUCCCUGAUGUUAGCGGCGGACGGGUGAGUAACACGUGGGUAACCUGCCUGUAAGACUGGGAUAACUCCGGGAAACCGGGGCUAAUACCGGAUGGUUGUUUGAACCGCAUGGUUCAGACAUAAAAGGUGGCUUCGGCUACCACUUACAGAUGGACCCGCGGCGCAUUAGCUAGUUGGUGAGGUAACGGCUCACCAAGGCGACGAUGCGUAGCCGACCUGAGAGGGUGAUCGGCCACACUGGGACUGAGACACGGCCCAGACUCCUACGGGAGGCAGCAGUAGGGAAUCUUCCGCAAUGGACGAAAGUCUGACGGAGCAACGCCGCGUGAGUGAUGAAGGUUUUCGGAUCGUAAAGCUCUGUUGUUAGGGAAGAACAAGUGCCGUUCAAAUAGGGCGGCACCUUGACGGUACCUAACCAGAAAGCCACGGCUAACUACGUGCCAGCAGCCGCGGUAAUACGUAGGUGGCAAGCGUUGUCCGGAAUUAUUGGGCGUAAAGGGCUCGCAGGCGGUUUCUUAAGUCUGAUGUGAAAGCCCCCGGCUCAACCGGGGAGGGUCAUUGGAAACUGGGGAACUUGAGUGCAGAAGAGGAGAGUGGAAUUCCACGUGUAGCGGUGAAAUGCGUAGAGAUGUGGAGGAACACCAGUGGCGAAGGCGACUCUCUGGUCUGUAACUGACGCUGAGGAGCGAAAGCGUGGGGAGCGAACAGGAUUAGAUACCCUGGUAGUCCACGCCGUAAACGAUGAGUGCUAAGUGUUAGGGGGUUUCCGCCCCUUAGUGCUGCAGCUAACGCAUUAAGCACUCCGCCUGGGGGAGUACCGGUCGCAAAGACUGAAACCUCAAAGGAAAUUGACGGGGGGCCC
RNAcentral lists this ribosomal RNA (889 nucleotides) under Bacillus amyloliquefaciens. RNAcentral describes it as "bacterial SSU rRNA". It matches the Rfam family "Bacterial small subunit ribosomal RNA", at positions 57 to 923 of the family's 1533-position model. The record is from RNAcentral. Lineage: Bacteria; Bacillati; Bacillota; Bacilli; Caryophanales; Bacillaceae.